This 72-nucleotide transfer RNA is filed under the name Ipomoea nil (Japanese morning glory). It matches the Rfam family "tRNA". Rfam says of the family: Transfer RNA (tRNA) molecules are approximately 80 nucleotides in length. Their secondary structure includes four short double-helical elements and three loops (D, anti-codon, and T loops). Further hydrogen bonds mediate the characteristic L-shaped molecular structure. tRNAs have two regions of fundamental functional importance: the anti-codon, which is responsible for specific mRNA codon recognition, and the 3' end, to which the tRNAs corresponding amino acid is attached (by aminoacyl-tRNA synthetases). tRNAs cope with the degeneracy of the genetic code in two manners: having more than one tRNA (with a specific anti-codon) for a particular amino acid; and 'wobble' base-pairing, i.e. permitting non-standard base-pairing at the 3rd anti-codon position. The record is from Rfam by way of RNAcentral. Lineage: Eukaryota; Viridiplantae; Streptophyta; Magnoliopsida; Solanales; Convolvulaceae.
GUGUUUGUAGUCCAACGCUUAGGAUAAUUGUCUUCCAAGCAAUAGAUCCGGGUUCGACUCUCGGCAAACGCA